AUGGAGCUACCACCAUGGGCGCCCUUCCUCGCCGUCGUGCUCGCCACCAUUCUCUUCUUGAAGGCCGUCUUCCGCCGCAAAGGCACGUGCAACCUCCCGCCUGGCCCCAAGCCAUGGCCGAUCAUCGGCAACCUCAACCUCAUAGGUGCACUCCCGCACCGCUCCAUCCACGCGCUCUCCAAGCAGUACGGCCCGCUCAUGCAGCUCCGUUUCGGGUCCUUCCCUGUCGUUGUUGGCUCCUCGGCCGAGAUGGCCAAGCUCUUCCUCAAGACCCACGACGUGGUGUUCACCGACCGGCCCAGGACCGCCGCCGGCAAGUACACCGGCUACGAUAACAGCACCAUCACAUGGUCCCCGUACAACGCGCACUGGCGCCAGGCGCGCAGGGUGUGCCUUGCGGAGCUCUUCAGCGCGAGGCGGCUCGAGUCGUACGCCUACAUCCGGCGCGAGGAGACGCGCGCCCUCCUGUGCGGCCUGCACGAGGCCUCCGGGCGCCUCGUGCUGCUCAAGGACCACCUGUCCACCCUGAGCCUGAACGUCAUCUCGCGCAUGGUGCUGGGCAGGAAGUACCUGGAGAAGCAGGCGGCGGGCGAGGACGGCUCGGCGACCAUGGCGCCGGAGGAGUUCAAGUGCAUGAUAGACGAGCUCUUCUUCCUCAACGGCGUGCUCAACAUCGGCGACUCCAUCCCAUGGCUCGACUGGAUGGACCUUCAGGGGUACGUCAGGAGGAUGAAGAAGCUGAGCAAGAAGUUCGAUCGAUUCCUAGAACAUGUCUUGGACGACCACAACGAGCGGCGGCGCCUCCAGGGCGAGAACUUCGUGUCACGGGACAUGGUUGACGUGCUGUUGGAGAUAGCCGGCGACCCAAAUCUUGAGGUCAAGCUCCACCGGAAUGGCGUCAAAGCUUUCAUUCAGGACCUCAUCGCCGGUGGCACGGAAACCACGGCGAUCACAGUGGAGUGGGCCAUGUCGCAGAUGCUCAAGAAACCCGAGGUGUUCUCCAAGGCCACAGAGGAGCUGGACCGUGUGGUGGGGCGAGAACGAUGGGUGACGGAGGACGACAUCCCCAGCCUUCCCUAUGUGGAGGCCAUCGUCAAAGAAACCAUGCGGCUGCACCCGGUGGCGCCCAUGCUGGCACCCCGUUUGUCCCGUGAGGACGCUUCCGUCGGUGGCUACAACAUCCCCGUUGGUACGCGCGUGCUCAUCAACGUGUGGUCCAUCGGCCGUGACCCGGCAGUGUGGGAUUCGCCGGAGGAGUUCGUACCGGAACGGUUCGUCGGCAGCAAGAUUGACAUCAAGGGGCAUGACUUCGAGCUGCUGCCAUUUGGGUCCGGGCGGCGGAUGUGCCCCGGAUACAGUCUGGGACUGAAGGUGAUCCAUGUGAGCCUCGCCAACCUGCUGCACGGCUUUGUGUGCAAGCUCCCCGAUGGCGUGACGACGGAUCAGCUGAGCAUGGAGGAGAUCUUCGGCCUGUCGACCCCGCGCAAGUUCCCGCUACAGGUCGUGAUGAAACCCAAGCUCCAGGGCCACCUCUACGCAAGGGGUCAUUAG
RNAcentral lists this ribosomal RNA (1551 nucleotides) under Triticum aestivum (bread wheat). RNAcentral describes it as "partial small subunit ribosomal RNA". The record is from RNAcentral. Lineage: Eukaryota; Viridiplantae; Streptophyta; Magnoliopsida; Poales; Poaceae.